AGGGGUAAAAACCUUUAAUACGGCAGUCAAAGAACAACACUUGACAGAGGAUGUCAGACGGCCCAAAAAAUAAUUGAAUUCAUCGGAUGAGAGCAACCGUUCUCAGCAGUGGAAGUUUGCCAUCGUUGCCUUAAAGAAGGCGUCUCAUCCUCCCAUCAGCAGUUGUCUUCAAAAAACGAAUGUGAUCCAGCAUCCUCCAAGGCGUCACAUCAUUUAUAAGUUGACAUCUACCGUCUUUGAGGGCCAGACGAUCAACCAACGCAUCUACGAGGAGAUCUUGUGAGGUUUGCGUCUUUCGGUGCGAGUUGUGGCAGGACAACUUGAGACUGCUUCACCAGGAGAACUCACACUGCAGUGUUUUCUCCCACUAAGACCUCUGGGACACCCAAGCAAGCAUGUGUUGCAUCCCUUCCCCCCUGCCUAGGAUGCUGCAAUACCUCCAUAAUGAAGUGAUGGUGCCUGUGGGCCUCUAAGCCAUUUGAAAUGCAACCAAACAAGGUCUCUGUGGAAAGCUCUGAAACAAAAGCACUCCUUUUUUCUGGGCAUUAAUUCAAGUAAGCACCAUUUUUUUCUCUUUUAAUAGCUCCAAAAGGACCAAUCAAGUCAAGGUUAACACACACACAAAGAGCAUGUUUGGUUCAAACAAUGAGCAAAAGUGUGCUCAUAAGAGUACCGGUGUGAUGAAAACUUGUUCUUCUCUUACGUGUUUUAUGAAUGGUUUUCCUAAACCAUAUAGUGAUGUUUCAUUGCAUACACAUCACAAUUUGAUCGACAGCCUGGAUCAUUUCAUUUUGGUUUCCUGCUAUAUGUAGCCACAGUUAUUGGAACGUCCAUUGUUACUGGAUCUGUGUAGAGGACGGCCAAAAGAAAAAUGAGUCUCUCGUAUCAGGAUGGGUGUGGAAUGGAACUUUUUCUGACCUUUUUACUGGAUGUGCAGAAGGAGGUUUUUUUUGCCUAAUCUACUGAUUUGAUUUUUUAGAUACAGUAUAUUGUUUUCAUUAUAUUUACAAGAUGAAUCCCUACAGUAUUCGCCAACCUUUUUUGCCUUACGUAUCUACCAAGUCUUUUUUCCAAACCGUGAGUGCACCCUCACUUU
Dunckerocampus dactyliophorus (ringed pipefish) is the source of this 1096-nucleotide long non-coding RNA. RefSeq lists it as uncharacterized. The record is from RefSeq and is a predicted model, not a curated record. The transcript has 4 exons. Lineage: Eukaryota; Metazoa; Chordata; Actinopteri; Syngnathiformes; Syngnathidae.